UCUCCGUUGGUGAACCUGCGGAGGGAUCAUUACAGAGUUCAUGCCCUACCGGGUAGAUCUCCCACCCUAUGUUAUUAUUACUUUGUUGCUUUGGCGGGCCGUUAGGCUCCGGCCCGACUACCGGCCCCGGCUGGUAAGCGCCCGCCAGAGGACCCAAAACCCUGAAUAUUAGUGUCGUCUGAGUACAAUAUAAUAGUUAAAACUUUCAACAACGGAUCUCUUGGUUCUG
This 229-nucleotide unclassified non-coding RNA is filed under the name plant metagenome. Its description in RNAcentral is "partial contains small subunit ribosomal RNA, internal transcribed spacer 1, and 5.8S ribosomal RNA". The record is from RNAcentral.